GUGGGGAAUCUUGCGCAAUGGGCGAAAGCCUGACGCAGCCAUGCCGCGUGAAUGAUGAAGGUCUUAGGAUUGUAAAAUUCUUUCACCGGGGACGAUAAUGACGGUACCCGGAGAAGAAGCCCCGGCUAACUUCGUGCCAGCAGCCGCGGUAAUACGAAGGGGGCUAGCGUUGCUCGGAAUUACUGGGCGUAAAGGGCGCGUAGGCGGACAGUUUAGUCAGAGGUGAAAGCCCAGGGCUCAACCUUGGAAUUGCCUUUGAUACUGGCUGUCUUGAGUCCGGGAGAGGUGAGUGGAACUCCGAGUGUAGAGGUGAAAUUCGUAGAUAUUCGGAAGAACACCAGUGGCGAAGGCGACUCACUGGCCCGUUACUGACGCUGAGGCGCGAAAGCGUGGGGAGCAAACAGGAUUAGAAACCCGGGUAGUCC
This 425-nucleotide ribosomal RNA is filed under the name uncultured bacterium. Its description in RNAcentral is "partial 16S ribosomal RNA". It matches the Rfam family "Bacterial small subunit ribosomal RNA", at positions 354 to 796 of the family's 1533-position model. The record is from RNAcentral.